RNAcentral lists this transfer RNA (65 nucleotides) under Anoplocnemis curvipes. Its description in RNAcentral is "tRNA-Gly". It matches the Rfam family "tRNA". Rfam says of the family: Transfer RNA (tRNA) molecules are approximately 80 nucleotides in length. The record is from RNAcentral. Lineage: Eukaryota; Metazoa; Arthropoda; Insecta; Hemiptera; Coreidae.
ACUUUUUUAGUAUAAAAAAUAUAUUUGACUUCCAAUCAAAAGAUCUUAAAUCAAGAAAAAGUAAU